CGUAUUACAAUUCACUGGCCGUCGUUUUACAACGUCGUGACUGGGAAAACCCUGGCGCGGGGGAAACCCCGGCUAAUACCCCGUACGCUUGCCGGGGCGCAUGCUCCGGCAAGGAAAGGUAGCUUCGGCCAUCCGGCGAGGGAGGGGCCCGCGGCCCAUUAGCUAGUUGGUGGGGUAACGGCCCACCAAGGCGACGAUGGGUAGCUGGCCUGAGAGGGUGGUCAGCCACACUGGGACUGAGACACGGCCCAGACUCCUACGGGAGGCAGCAGCCAGGAAUCUUGCGCAAUGGGCGAAAGCCUGACGCAGCAACGCCGCGUGGGCGAUGAAGGCCUUCGGGUCGUAAAGCCCCGUUGUCGGGGACGAAGGGCGAAGGGUUAAUAGCCCCUAGCCUGACGGUACCCGACGAGGAAGCCCCGGCUAACUACGUGCCAGCAGCCGCGGUAAUACGUAGGGGGCGAGCGUUGUCCGGAAUCAUUGGGCGUAAAGAGCGUGUAGGC
RNAcentral lists this ribosomal RNA (500 nucleotides) under uncultured bacterium. RNAcentral describes it as "bacterial SSU rRNA". It matches the Rfam family "Bacterial small subunit ribosomal RNA", at positions 81 to 576 of the family's 1533-position model. The record is from RNAcentral.